GUAGGCAGUAAACAUUAUCUUUUAUUAAUUUUUUUUAGUGUGCAAGCGAUAACAAACAGGCUUGGUACGCCACGAUAGCUAUAUCAUGCAUGAAAAGACAUUCAAGAGAGGUUAUUUACGUGGUUUACAUAUAAUCUGCACGUUUUAAGUUUAACGUUUGUCAAGAAGGUGGGUAUCUGGAGCUGGCCUGUAUUUCCAAACAACAGGGAUUGUGAGCUCUUGUGACAAGCUGGAAGCAAGCUCUAUACCUAUGUAUGUGUUCUUUAUGCCCCUGUUGCGUACAGCAGUGUAAUGAGUACUAUGAGGGUAGUGCCUGAGGCGAGUAUAGAUAGAGUUCCAACUCUCUGCAGGGGGCAAACUAAAAGAGGAGCUAAUAAAUCCUCAAGUUAUGAGUAGGUCUGGACGGUAGGUGAGCAAGUUAGCUGAUAUCUUUGGGGGUGAGGGUGCUCUGUGGCCCGGUCAGUGUAUGGCUGAUGGUGCCGGUACCUGUGUUGCUACGGUACUGCAGUGAGAGAGCGAGCUGGAUACUGCUCUUGGCUGAGGGGGAGCAAGCGUGGGUAUCUAGGUAACCUUUUUUGAGCAUAUUGGGCUUUUCUCUAACUAAGAGCUAUCUGCAUGUCAGAACCUGAACUCAGUGUUCAAUGGUGGGCUUAGUGUUCAUGUGCCAGGAAUGUUAGGGCUAGUCCUUGGGUCAGGAGGGCCACAGGUAUGUGGUGGUGGCCUCUUCUUGCUGCCAGAGCUCCAUCAGGUGCAUAGUUCUCUGCAACAAGUCGUUGGGGCACAAAAGGGAUAGCCGUUGCCGGGUUCCCUAACCCGGAAGGUGGGGAGGUGGUGCGUGGUCCGAUUGAUGGUAAGGAGUCCUUCUGUAGGCCCAGGGUGGGAAGGAGUUCUCUCGCACCCUGCAGGUCGUGGAUGGUGUAUGUGGAGUCAGCCUGAUGUAUUUGCAGCGCGUGUGGUCCCCUCCACUUAUAGUCGAUGUUUUGCGUGCGGAGGAGGGAUGUGAGGGGCUGUAGCGAGCAGCGCCAUACCAGUGUGGACUUUGACAGGUCCAUGUAGAAAGACAUCGACUGGUUUUCAAAUAGGUAAGGAGAUUGAUUGCGCGUUGCUUUUAUCACCGCAAUUUUGUGUCUGGUGCUGGGAAAGCGCACUAGGAGAUCCCUAGGUAGCGUGCUAUGAGCCUUGGCGGGCCUCGGGAUACUGAACAUCCCCUCUGGGUUCUCCUGCUUUGUGUGCUUGGGGUUUAGGAGGGCUGUUAUGAGUCGCCUUACAAAGUGCAGUACCUUGGCCUCCGGCAUCUCCUCUGUGAUCCCCUGGAUCUUAAUAUUUCUGCUUCGCCUCUGGUCUUCUAAUGCUGCAAAUUUUAGGUCGUAUUUAAGGUUCUGCAUCUGCAGUUCAUGUACUGCUUGUUGUAGGUGCUUGAUGUGUUUGGUAUUCUGGUUGGAAUCUUGCUCCAGUAUGUUCAUGCGGCCAGUCAGGCCCUGUAGGUCUUUGCGUAUCUGGGUAAUGUCGGCCUGUAUGGUGAGCUGAACCCACCAGCAGUUCCUUCAGGAUCGCUGUGGUGAGUGGUGGCGAUUCCGGUUGUGGAGGGACCGGGAGAGGAGCCUUCGGGGCGGGUGGGGCUCUGCCUUUAUUCCGAGCAUAAAAUCAUCUGAAACGUUGGAGCAGUCGUCGGUUAAGGCGGCCAUGUUUGGGCCUAUGGCACCCUGUGCUUGUCUCCAGAAGUCACGAUGCUCAUGUUCUGCGGAGGUUUGUCGGGUCUAGACUUUUUGGUCUUCCACCCCAAGUACGUGGGUUUUGGGAUGUGUUUGAGGUGUAAUAGUAGCUUUUUGGCCCGGAGCUCGGACAGCAUGCGGCCAUUCAGUUCAGUGGCUUGGGUCCGCCCCCCAGUAAACACUAUCUGAUGGGCAGAGGCAUAUGAUCUUUGAAUGAAGCCGAGCCAUGUGGUGUCAUUAUUUAAAAGGUUAAAGGUUUUUGCCUUCUUUCAUGCUUUCUGCUUAUAAUUUUUCUCCUUAAAGAGGCACUGUCACCAUCUGAGUACUUUGAAGAAUUUGCAAAGACAGUGACAAUGCUGCUGGGAUUCAGUGUCCAUUUUAUUUAUUUUUUUAAAGUCUAGUGUAGAAAAACUAGAAAAAGUAGUCCUUUGAAACUAAAAAACAAGACAAAUAGAUAAAUAGAUGAAAAAUUUAAAAAUAGAAAGACAAAGUAGGAAAGAGAAGAGGUAGCCAUAGGGAAAAGGUAGGAACGGCAUGUCAGUGCCGCUUUAACCCAGUCUCCUCGGUCAAUUCCUCCACAGACCGUUCAGUCACUGCCAACAGUGUGACGUAAUGGAAGACACAAUUUUAAGCUUUGCCCAAGAUUCAUUCCGACAGUCAACUGAAACAAAUUAGGAGUAAGGAAAAAAAAAAAAUGAAAGGGGGGGAAUGAAAACUAUAGCCCCAAAAAUAUGCGUUCCUUUGUAUUUUUCUGACCUCUGUCCACCCCCUUUGAUGUUAAAAUAGUUUAUUUUAAUGUUUUACUCACCUUGUUUCCAGCACUCAAGCAUCUCUGCUGCAGCCACACACCACACCUCCAUCGGCAAGUUGACCUGACCAUACAAAUGGGNNNNNNNNNNNNNNNNNNNNNNNNNNNNNNNNNNNNNNNNNNNNNNNNNNNNNNNNNNNNNNNNNNNNNNNNNNNNNNNNNNNNNNNNNNNNNNNNNNNNUGUUAGCGUUUUGAUACAGGGGUGUGUUUGUAUAUAAUGUUUGCAUUUGUGUGCAGGAGUGUGCUUGGAUGUACAGCUUGUUGUUAGCUUUUAAAUGCGGAUGUACAUUUGUGUGUAGCAUUAGUGUUUGAGUGAAGGGUGUAAAUAAAUUUGAAAUUUGAAUCCAGGGUUUUUUUUUUAUGUAAUGUUUGUGUUUGCAUGCUGUGUUGGUGUUUGAUUGCUGGGAUGUAUGCACAUAUGAUUGCUGUACUUAUGCCACAUACAUACAUACACAAACAAAUUAACACACAGACACACAUAAAAACGUUGACACGUACACACAUAUUCAUUUACACACUGACAUAUACACACAGACACAAAGAUACACACCUUGACACAUGCACAGACCUUGGCACACAGAUACACAGUGACACAUGCACUAACCUUGACACACACUGACACACACUCAGACACACAUACUCUUUGACAGACAAACAUACACUCUCACUGGCAAACACACAUACACUCUCAUUGACAAGCGCAUACACUCAUUGACAAACACACAUACACACUCAUUGACAAGCACACAUACACACUCACUGACACACACACAUACACUCACUGACAAGCACACUCUCAUUGACAAGCACACAUACUCACUGACACACAUACACACUCACAAACACACACGUACACACUCACAGACAAACACACACACUCACUGACAAACACACAUAUACUCUCAGUGACAAACACACACACACACACACUGACAAACACACAUAAAAACUCCUUAACAGACACACACAAUUUUUAAUUUCACUCCAGCCUCCCUACCUUUGGGAGUACUGUCAUGGAGCCUCUAUUUCCGUGGGGUCCAGUGGGGCUGAGCGGCUGGCGUGAGGUCCCUCGCUGCCCGCCUCAAUUAUCAGCGAGACCUGACCGGGCCAAAUCGCAGCGUCCAUUUUGUUUGCCGGAACUCCAUUUGUGAACACCAAUUGGAAAACACUGGAUUAGACUACUAAGAACCAUAGCACCCACUGUCAGGAAACCGUUAAUUUAGGAGUAAUUUUAAUGACGAAGAAAGAAAAUGAAACAUAUUAACAAGUGUCCUUCUAGUGCAGUUGUAUUAAGGAGAUAUGUUAUCUAAAGUAUGGCAGUUGCUUAACCCGUUCCUUCUCAAGAAGCAUCUUAAUGUAGUGGUUUUGCUGCAUUUUCUCUUUAAAAGUAAAAUAUUGCCAUAUGGCCAAAAUGCUGCUCCAGAGCCUGUCAGACAAACGACCGUUAGACGUGUUUUCUCCUUACAUGCUUCAAUUUUGAUACGGACUUUACAUUAGGCAAUAUCUUGUGCAGCGUGAUGACCUAGAGCAGCUAACGCUUCUCAUAGAGAACUGGAUUGUUGAGAAAUGGUGAUUGGCAAAAACAUGUUACUUAAUACUUAGUACCUAAUGCUUAUGUAUGAGAAGUAUCUGAUUGGACGAGAGAUCAUCAUGGUCGUCUAAAUUUAAAUUGGCUCUGGUUUUUAUUUUAUUUUUUUGGGGUGGAGGUCAUGGUUUAGAAUGUCCAAGUCUGGUUAUCAAGGCAACUAAACCAUUAGAUUUCAGACACUAGUUGGCUUGUCUGGAAGAUUGGCAACCUCAGGAGCUUACGAGGUAUGUCCAAAGGCUAUAGCUAUAGGAAGUAAACUGUUUGUACGGUACAUUCAAUGUACUGCGGACGUUCUGGAUAUUGCAUACAACUGCCCAGACAGAUACAUAUAAAUAUUGAAUCUAGUCAAUAUGGAUAGAUUUGUUCUCCGCAUAUAGCAUAGUAUAUAUCAGAGAAGGUGUCAUCAAAGUACACCACUCAGUUUUCAGAAGCUGAUAUUUUUAGCAAAUAUUAAAAGUUGCCAUCUGGAUCCUAAUUGAUAGAGAUAGUGCCCCACAUUGGAAAUUCAACAGACCAAACUUCAUGCUUCCUCCACUUUGCUCAGAAUCAUUCUCUACCAUCUGUUAAAAAAAUCAUGCACACUAACCCAUUUCAUCAGCUCUAAUGUAUAGAUAGCAAUACCACCAUCUGACUAUACUUCUAUGUGAAUAUCAUUUGUGAGAAAUGUUCCCCUAUAUACAGUUUUACUUUAAUUAGAGGGGAAAAACAAACAAACAUGUUGCCCGUGUUUCCAAAUCAAUCUUAAUUUAGAGAUGAUAAGAUAUACUGUAGAUGAGGCAAAGAACAGACAACGCUGUCUCAUAUAGGACCAGAUUUUUGACAAAUUUAGGAACCCAAUGUAGGAUUCUAUUUUUUACCAAAUUGCAGCAAUGGAUAGAGGUUCCACUGCCAUAUGCAUUUCAGAAGUGGCAGGAGUUAAAGAGAUAUGACAGCAUGAAGAUAGUGGCACCGAUCAGGGACAAAGUCAUAUAAAUAAAACCUACCAAACUUCUAUUCUCUUGGGCAGAGGACACUCUCUAAUUAGGCAAUUUAGGCAGUCGCCUAAGGCCUUGCAUGGUGUGGGGCCGCCUAAAUCCCCAUUGGGCAGACUGACAUGUCGGGUCUUUGACCUAUGACCAAGGGCCCGACACAGAAGGGGGCCCCACGGCUUGCCUAUAAAUGACUGGAGAUCACGAGACUUACCACGCGGUCUGCAGCUCUGCACCUGGUGGAGCUGCAGAGCGGACAGGAAGCCCACUGGACCACCAGGGAUACAGCCUGCCCACCGGACCACCAGAGAUACAGCCUGCCCACCGGACUACCAGGGAAUCAAUUUAAUAAAAAGGUAUUUAUGACCCCCAGCCCUGUCACAGUCUCAGCUCCCCCCACCACCUCCUACCUUGUCACAACCCCCUACCACUCCCUGCCCUGUAACAACCCCCCUAUUACUCCCUGCCCUGUCACAGCCCCCCUACCCUGUCACAGCCCUCACCACACCCUGUCAUCCCACACCCACCCUGUCACGGCCCACCGCACACCUUGUCAUCCCCCACCCAUACCCUAUCUUUACCACACACACUGACAACCCUUCACACACACUGUCACCAUUCCCAAACACUUUCAGUCCCCACGACACUGCAAGCCUCUGAACAAUGAAUAUAGAGACUAGCGCUGCAAGCUUGUCCUUCAUUACAACUACAGCACCUUAGACACACAAUGCAACCCUUUAUUUAUUUUUAGUUUGGGUGUUAGUGGGGGCCUCAUGUUUGAGUUUCGCCUAAGGCAUCACAAAAUCUAGAGCCGCCACUGCUCUCGUGUGUCACAAGCAGACAUUUCACUUUGGAGGGUCUUUGCAAACCACAGUAUUCUGCAAACCAAGUACAUGCAAUAAACUUUUAUUAACAAGCUUCUUUUUUAUGUAAAUUAGAUAUCCUAAUUCUCCUAAAUAAAGAGGUCUCCAUGAGAUGCAACAAAGCAUGGCUUAAAACUUGGUUAAACUCAUGCAUGUCUCACAAAGCAUAGAAUAUAAUAUUUUCAUUUUCAGAGGAGUGAUAGCAUACCUCAGAAUCUGGGGGACGCUCCCUCGUGGCCCUCUUACCCCAUCCAGUGACACAACUAAUGUCAAUGACCAUAAUGGGAAAGCCCACCCACUGGCAGGCUGCCGGGCCGCCCCCCCAGCUCUCAGGGAGCACUGCUGAAGCACUCCCUGCAUGGUCCUAGUGCCCACUGGAAAGCGCGAUCCCAUCUAAUGAUGUGCUUAACUGGUGUCCCCAGAUGUAGGGCACCGGGGAACUUAGGCGAAAGAGGUCAGACAGAACUACAAAAUCAGGACUGUUGGAAGGCCUGUGAUAGCUUCAGUAUCGGUUCAUAGAUAUCAGACAGAUUUAUACCUAUGAACUUCUGCCCUCGGGAAGUUAGAAUGCGUGGGCAAAAUCCUGAGGGGCACUGCCAGUGACGCAAGCUGCAUCAUUAGCUCAGCCCACAAUCGGUGGAGCUGCCCAGAACAGGGAUAGUGUCAUCCAAAAAGGUUCGGGACUGCCCAAAAGAGGGACCCCACUGGGAGGAACCCCAAUAUCUGGACUAUCCUGGUUGGGAGACACUUAUGUGUUACGUUGUUGUGGAGGAAUAGCUUAGUAUCACAGGCUACAGUACACCCACUGCAACAACUCUAGUGCCACCCUUAAAUCUGGUAUUGUAACUAGGCCUCCGACUCCUGUAUCCAACUAGAUAAGAUCACAAUGAGGUAAAAUAAAAUAUUUGAUUAACAUAUUCCACUUUUGUAAUAUGCAUGCUUUCUGUUACAUUUUUCUGUUUUAUUUAGAUUCUAAUUCAAACAAUUUCCAUUUACUUAUGACUUAAAUUUAAUUGACUUUAAUAAAAUAAUGAUCAGCAGAAUGGAGAGCACAGCAGUUUUUGAUGUGUUUGUGGUUCAAUGUUCAUAUUCACUUGAUUGCAUUUUCUUUUACUUUAAUUAUAUUUCUUUCGUCAAUGGAAUAAACAUUUUUUUUCCUUUUGACAUUUUUCAGUUUUUAAUAAUGUAAGCUCUAUAUUGGAUUUAUUAAACAGAAAGUCUCAUUGCUCAAUGAAAUUGUAUUUUAUGCACAACCUUGUAUUACUAAUGAAUACCUGAGAGUGUGCAUUAAAAAUGUAAGAAAUUAAAUUGCUCCUGAUGCUCAAUAUACCAGCAUUCGUCAUUUCAAGUUACUAAAUUAAUAUUUAGACCUGCUCAUGAUUGAGAUGUAGUAUUAAAAACAAAAUUUGUCCUGAAAUCACAAUCCUGGGAUCUCUCUGAUCUUAAUAAAUCACAGAAUGCGCUUUUAGAUUUACAUUUCUUAUGUAUACUUAAUGCAAGGUUGUACAGAUAAAUUAUGUCAGCAGAUUAAUUGAUUCCUGUAGUCUGUAUAUUGUUAGACCGGCCCUCGAAAUCCUAGAUCAUGUUUAAUUCUACUCAUAACGUUGUAAACCAAUCUCUACUCUAAUUUAUGUUACAAAAUAUUGCCAUGCAUCUAGUCCCUUAAGGAAUAUGGUUUCUCAUUUUUUAUUUAUUUCUCUUUUUAAUCUAAUACUUGCUACUAGGGAUAGGGAGGAUCAAAUGCAUUAUUAUUCUGAACACAGCAAGUUACAGUGCAGUUAUUCAACAUAUUUGGUGUAAUAAAAAAAAUCAAAAACAACAAACAAUAUUUUACACCGUGCAUUUAAACUAUAAAACUGUAGCAGCCAUUGUAUGUCAGAUAAUUAAUUUACACAAAUAGCACUUCAAAUCAUUAAACUAAAACAUGAGACAAAGACUGUACCCACAAACUAUACCACGGGCUUGCGCUCUCCUGAAGAAUGCUUCUGAUUAUAAAAACACAAAUGGACAAAGCAUAAAAAUGUAAAUAUAUACCAUUAUGUGAUUACAUUGACAAAUGGGCAAAAAAAAUUAAAACAGAUGUGCACCAUUCAGACUUCUCCUUCCACUACAGAAUAUUCCUCGAAACACCAUGUAUACUUCUACUUGAAUUACAGAACAUGUAAAUGGUUCCCCUACUGACUCAAGCGUUCGUACAGCAAAACUACAAUUUAUUGUAACAAAAGAUCUCACAUUAAAUACCACUAUACUCCUCAAUAAGACACCCGUCUGGUGACAAUGCACAUUUAUUUUCCAGUGUAAUCCUCUACUUUCCUGAUGGUUUCUUGCAUUGUCAACCUGGGGGUGUCCUCUAUCCUGACAUCGCUCCUCAAAAUGGGGCUCUCAAAUGCAUCAAUUCCAGCCUUCCCUCUGGGCUAGAUUUACAUAUUUACAGGUGCCUGUUGGCACAGAAUUCUAAGGAACCCUCAAUUCAUAAAUUGCACUGCUUGCUUUGACUAACGAUUGUAUACACUCUUGACUUUGAUAUCUACACUCUUCACUCUUGGCGAUGUUGCCACAGUAAUGCAUAACUAUGAGGUGAUACAAAAAUAAAGAAUUAAAAAAAAAAAAAAAAACUUCUAUUAGUACAGCAAAUGCUAAACUGGUGGUGUGUCAAAAAUACUCUUGGAAAUUCAAUAACCCCCAAAUAUUCUAGAGGCAAUAUGCUUAUGUGGCUUCCCUCCAGGUUGCUUACAAUACACUUGUCAAAGGAAGCUAGAAUAUAUGGUGGUAUAGGGAAGUGCUGUGUGUAUUUCCCUGUUACACAUUUCUCCCUCUCCUUUCAGUCCAGUUGACAUAAUAGACACACAGCAAGUCCAAAGGCAGCAUUGAGAGUUGUGUACAAAAUGAUAACAGUACCUACUUCUCAAGUGAAAUUACAUUUUAUUUAUGUACAGGCAACUGAGGGUCAUGUCUUAGUUGCCAACCAAGGUUAUAUAGACAACAUUUUAUUUACGUGGAAUGAGUCCUCUGGGGAACUAGAGACAUUGUUGAUAUUCCUAAGGGAUAAUAAUUAGGAAGUAUAUUUAACAUUUUACCUGUGAUCAAGUUCAUGUCACACGAAAUGUGGAAAGUGGAAUCCUUGCUGGCUUAAUAACAUCUAGAAAGUGGCAUCUGGCAUGAUACUACCUUUCAUAUUUUUGAACUCAAAUGUUUUGAUUGAUUUUAUUAGACUUCAUUCUACAGUUGUUCCUGCGGAAGGUGGCAUCUUCUGAGUACUUGGGGAAAUUUAUAUGGAGGACAAUAAAAAAAAAAUCAAUAAAUAAAAAAGUAGAUUAAGACAUAAUUCCGCAGAAGAAAUUGUAUAUGUUGAUCAGGCAGAAGACUUAUAGAGGGGAACAAAUAUCCACAGGACAUAUUGAAUAAAACAAACAAACAUUCUUAGAAGUACUGGAUAAAACCCGAAGAGAUCUAUUAAACAUGAACAGAACUCAGAUACGUAAAGGUAUGCAGCAAAUAACCGUUAUUGACUUUUAUAAACAAUGUGAAAAGUGAGGGUAUUUAUAGUUUUCUGUAAACAAAUUCAAGUUACACCUACGGUUGCUUAGAGAGGUUACCAAGUUUUAAAUGCAAACUGUUAUUGAAGUAAAACAUUUAUAGAUAUCCCUAAAUAUAUUUUUAGAUGCAAUAAUUAAAUAACAGUUUUUAUUUUACUUGGUUUUUAUGUCUGUUUGUUCUAUUGCUUGUUUGUUUUUUUAAGCAAAUGGGGGUGGACAGAAGGGAACCUUCAGUCCUUAAAUAACGAUUGUUAUUUUUGGGACUGUACAUUCUCUUUAAUCAAGGUGUAUUAGUCAGUUUUAGAGACUGUAGCAAUAGGACAUUUAGGCAUCCAAAAAGUGAAACAUGAUUGGAGAAGUAGUGAAUACAUAAAAAGAAUAGGUCAGAAAGUAAUGAAUUGAGUACAUUUAGCAGGUUAUAAUUUUUUAUUUUUUAAAUUGGUUUGAGCUUUUCCUUACCUGGUACCCUGCAUAGCCACGUUCCAGUGGUGGCAGAAAUGGGUCAGAGAUUCCAGAAGCUACAGCAUCUACAGCUAAAGACUCCUGUGAUAUCAGCACGCUGCUGCAUUGUACCCCAUGCACCAAGAUAGCGGGCCCUGUUGACUCAGAGGCCUAUACCUCCCAGUUGGAGGACAGUGAUGUUGACAGAGACCCUCCACCCCCUUUAGCAACCCCAAGGUUGCUGCCCAGGUGGAGCCAGAGAGUGCAUUCUAAACUACUAAACAGGACAGCCACAAUUUAUUUAAGGACAUUCAAAGCAGUUUGUGGCUGAACUGGCGGUUGUGAAUGUAGAGGUGCAAGCUGUAUAAGGCUAUCAACCCUGAAAAGGCUCGAAAUUUAAAUUUGCCAUUGGUCAAUGGGGCACAAGUGUGUUCAAGACCCACUCUGACAUGAUUUUAGGAAUACCCAACAAGCAGAACUUAAGCUACUAACUAUAAUUAGGAUAACUAGGAUACUAAAGCCUAUUACCAGAUUGGCUAAAUUUAACGCUAAUAAUAUAGAAUAGUACAGAACAGGCCAAGAUCAGGUGAGACCAAGAGCAUGUAAACGGUAAGGCAAGCCAGAAUCAAGGAAUACAAAAUGAAGAAUAGUCAAGGUACAAGCCGAGUCAAAAUACAAAAGAAUCAAUAAAUGAUGUGCUCUCGGAUAACCACAACAAGGCACUGAGAUAGAAUUCAAAGGAGCUUAAAUAGUCCUAAGAGGAGGGGGGCGGGGCCUGACAGCAGAGUGGAGCAGUCGCAUGUUGCUGCUGCUGCUCCAGCUUCUAAACUUACAUACCGCCGAUUAUCGACGACCUGAGGUUGUAAACCAACUUCUUGUGACUCUCAAGCGACAGAGGCUACCGAGACCUACGUGAAGACACCAAGCAGGUGGAUCUUCGCACCGAUUCCGACCCGCCCGAGGUUGCGGCCUACAAGCAUGGCGGCGGUGGGGGAGACGGCCGCUCUCCCGCCGCUGAAACAAUCUGCGAGACAAAGUUUGUGCCUCCGUUCCCCCCCCUAUGGACCGGUGGGGGUUAUCCCGGACCCACCAACUGGACACACAUAAAUGCAAGGACUGCAGCUACCCACUUAGGACUGGACUCCAGAUGCUCCGGGCCCAGCCACAAGGCGGGAACAUCGCGGUCCGCAGGACCUAAACCCUCGCAACCGCAACCCACAAGCCUGGACCUUAUAUUCCAGCAAUUUUGGGAUAAGCUGGAACGACUCCUCACAAGGCCCUCCUCGACACAUGGAGGCAUGACACAAGGGUCGGGGAAGCGGAGACGGAGCAGGCCCGUCCCGAGCACUACACACCCUCCUGCACCAGCACAUCGCACCGACCGCCCACCCCGGCCGAGGGUCGCCAGGAGAUCAACUCCGCAGCAUCGGCCACACCGCCGGAGGCCCAACUGCCGCUGGCAGACCACCGGGGCUUGUCACGGCACCCCAGCAGGGAAAAACUCGGCCUCCACGAGUACCCAAGUUUGUGGCAUAAGGAUGCAGAUCCCACACAAGGCACGGGGCCAGAGGGAAGCCUCACUGUCCUCGCAGCGUACCCGCACUCCAAAGUACAUCCAGGUACCAGUCACUCUCAUUGCCACGAGAGGGAUCGGCUGAAGACACGCGCCGCGACUUGAGACGGGGUCUGGGGAUGUGCCUUCCACCCGGACCAGCACCUAAGGAGAAUCGAGCCUCCGCGGCUGAACACUGCUAGACCCGCAUAAAUGGACACUAUCACAGAACUAACGCUGUAUGACUCAGUCCAGCUCCUGCCAGAGACUCUCAUACCUGCGGAAAUCCACAGCACACAUUAAGAGUCCUAUGGUGGCAACUAGCCUGAAACGCAACUUAAGUAACUAUACAAUGCCUGUUCAUUGAUAUGCCUUAUAACAUGACAACUUGCCUUACCGCAUUUGAAAAGGCUUAUAUGUCUAUUGACACAAGCCUGAUGUCCUAACGUGCCUUACCACCUCAGACAUGCUAAAUAAGCCUGUAGUACAUUUAACUGUAUAAGCUUACAACUAUGCAACCAUUUUUUGCUGCGUUACUUAGUUAGCAUGUUACCAACCGGAUCAUAUGAUCCAUAGCUUGUAUUUUCAAACUAAUGAGUCAAAGAUACACAUCUGGCAAAGCAACUGUUUUAGUAUAUCUUGAACCUUGAUGUUUAACCUACUCUGUGCAUAGACACCUCUGGCUUGAGGAUGCUACACAAGACUGUAUGCCUCUCUUUUUCCACAUAUUUAGAAUAUUGUUUAAGCCUAGCAUGUUAAUAUACUGAACCCUUUGGUAUAGCAUAUCGUUUAAAUCUAUUAACAUACACAGUAGGCGUGCCUCUAAUCACCCAGCUUGCACAACGCAGAGUAAUGUUACCUCUGCUUGAUUAACAAUCAGUUUAUCCACUUAUUGUGCCUUUAAUGAACAGGACCUUGUGAUCCAUAGCUUGUAUCUUCAACAUAUAGAAACAACAAAAAUUUUAAAAAUGAGGCAUCGCUACUCUGGAAAAGUAACUUAAUAUUGCUAAACGAUGUAGCAACCCUAUGCUGUAAAUCACUUGUACUUUUCCCUUGCUCUUCUUCUGUACCCCAUCUUAUAUGCCUUCAAUAAAAAAAAAGAUUGACAAAAAAAAAUAAAAAAAUAGUCCUAAGAGGAAAGGUUCUCGGCUGUCAUGUAACCUUGGAAUGUGCAUGCAUGAUCAUCUGCAACGCACCCGUGUUGCCAUCAAGAAUCAGGGCAGAGACUUUGGAGCCAUAAGAAAGCUAUGGUGACAGCAGCAGGAGUCAGUGUGAAAACCAGAACAUUUGGCUGCCAGAGGGCAUGGGGACGAUUGUGGCAGCUCCAGCAUGCGCACAAGCCACGCCAGAACGCUCUACACCUAAGCACACCGUGACACACUCCCAACCACAUCUGGGAUAUUGCCAAAGUGGUUCCCUUUACUUUGAGAAGGGGACAGAACUUAAUUGUAGUUACUGGUUUAUAUACCCGGUUUUAUUCUUCAGUUUAUUUCUUAUUAUGGAUACUACACAUUCUGUAUCUCCAUUUGUUUGAAGUCCUCAUAAGUACUUUUAUUAAUUAACCUUCUUGCACCCUCCCAACAUCUAGCAGACACGUCCUUUUACUUCCUGGUUUGGUUAGCUCAGUGAAGCUAAUCUCAAGUGGCAGCAAUUGCUCAGAGCACCUGUCUUGUAAAGACUUAUCACUGAGCUGCAUUGGGAAGUCUGUUAUUGGACAGUCACAGAAAGUCUGGGUGGGGUUGUAAGUGGAGAGUUACAAAGGCUGAAGACAAGAACACUGCAGUUGAUUUUAGAUCUGUUUUGAUUGAGGGUAUAUCUACUAAACAGUGAUUUGUAUUUAUUUUAUUUGGGCAGUGGAGUGUCCACCAUACACAACAUCUACAUCUAACACAGCUAUCAUCUCUAACCAGCCUAGACUGCUUAGAUAAAAAACAGCACCUUUUAAAACUUACAGCAGAUACCCGUGCCACCAGAUAUGAAUGGUGCUGUGUAAGCACACCGUAUUAAAGCUGGUUUGUUUUUUGCUAAUACGAAUAUCUUAAAAAUGUCUUAUAUUUUCUUUGCAGUGCCUCACAUGCUCAAAUUAGAUAUAUGUAGAAUCAUAUUAGUUACAAACUUCUCUUAAUGCAUUAUUAUUAUGAUAUUGUGAGUACCCAUGUCAAGCAUCCCUACAAAGUUUGCAAAACAAUCUCCUUCAGCCAAAGGCCCACACAUCAGGUGAGGGUGAAUGAUCCCCGUGGCAGAUCCACCUGGAAUCUAUCUUUUACAUGCUGACACCUGCUGGUGAAGGAGGAGCAUUGCCACAGUCUAACACUAAACUGAUACAAUUAAGAAGCCAAGUUCAGGCUUGUUAUCUGAAGACAGAUAUUGACAAACAAAAGCAUCGCUGGUAUUUUGUCUUCCAUGUUUUAUCCAAAAGAGUAGAAACCCCUGUCAGUUGAAAAAUAAAUUGUUCUUAAAAUUUCCCAGUGAUGGUGAUCAUUUACAAAGGGCAAAAUGUGCUCAAAUUAAAAACAGUAUGUAGAAGAUAUGCUGGAUUUUUGCCAGGACCUCACUAAAAUGGCUGAGCAAAGAAGCUGCAAUGGAACAAGUGCCCAAUGAGCUUUACGAGGACACCUAGAUGGGUUAUGGUUUUAAUUCUAUUUGUAAAAUGUAUUUUAAGAUCCCAUAAGGCUGCUUCAAACCAUCUGCUAAAUUACCAAGGUCAUGUGACUAAAAGUAACCAAUAGGAACUUUUUGAAAGCAUUCUUAAAACCAUUUAAACUUUGUGGUACAUUGUAACAAUUAUAUAUUGUUCACAAAUUGCUUUUAAUUAUAAAAGACGUCCCUUUCAGUGGGAUCUGCAAUGCAUUUAGUACCAUUGCUGAAUUGAUCUACAGAGAAUAUUUCUUGAACAUGCUGCAAAUUUGGAUUUAUCCUGGUUUAAUAUAUAUGUUACCGUUAAAGUGAGAAAUCAGUUAAUGUGCACAUUACCUAGUUAAUCUGCAGAUUAACUGAUUUGCUCUGUUAAAGUGCGGAAUCAAGGGUUUUCCGCACCUUACCUAGGUAAUGUGCACAUUAACUGCUUCCGUCUAGUUAAAGUGCAAAACAUUUGUUUCUUUCCCUCGGUAAAUAGGAAAUUAUUUAUUACAAAAACGUCCUCGCAGAACCUGUUUCACCCUUUCAGUGCAGAAGUUGCAGAGUCGUUCACUUCUCGUCUGAAGGCAGAAAGAUUCUGUGUGAACCUGUUUUGAUUCUUUUUGUGAGCAAGUUCCUUUCAAUUCCCUCCACCAUCAAAUUCUCAAAGCAUAGAUGCAUGGCUUGUUGCUUCUCAGAGGGGAGGUGGCUACUAACAAUGCUGCUCAGUAAGUCACAGAAAUACUUCUCUCAUUGAGGAGAAUGAGACCAUGGAGAGGUCUGCUCAUGGACCACUGAUUCCGGCAGUCUUCAAAUAUAUGAUGAUAUUGAGAACAGUGGAGAGCAUCUGCUGGGAUUAUUUCAGGGUGUUGCCUCAUAAUGUGCAGGAAGCGCUUGCUCUCUUGUGGUGGUGGGGGCUCCUCGUUUCUUACCAGUUUGCGAUAACUGUUUGAAGAGGUAUGUGACUAUGUGGUCCAGACAAGAAUAGAACAGCAGCCUGUGUCCUCCAGAGCUGUGAGCCCCUCAGAGAGAUGGAGGACAGAAUGAUUUUUUUGCACUUUAACGAGUGCCUAGUAGGUAAUGUGCAGAUUAUCUAGGUAAUUUGCAGAUUACCUAGGUAAUGUGAGAAAUAUUUGAGAAAAUAAAUCAUUUUCUGCACUUUAACUGAUCGCCCUAGUUAAUCUGCAGAUUAACUAGGUAAUGUGCACAUUAACUGAUUUCUGCACUUUAACUGUAACAUAUAUACACAUGUACAUUGGCAUUCCAACCGAACGGUAAGAUUUGUCUUUUUGUGAGUGUAUCACUUAUAAACCUUUUCCCCCAUCCCACUUGUGUUACUGAAAGUAAAAACACAUUGAUAUACACACAAUUUUUAUUUAUUAAUUUUACAUAUAUAUGUAUAUAUUUAUUAUUAUUAUUUUUUUAAAUAUUGUAGAAUAAAGUAUUGUGUUUUUAGCAUACAUUUUUUGGUGUGCAUUAUUUUCUACAUUUGAUGUUGAUAUAGUUGGUAUUUAAAGGGAGCUCUGAGUGAAUUAAUGCAUGCUUACAUUAAUUAUUGAUAUAUGGACUGCUGUUAGUGUGCUCUGCACUGCAUGUUAUAUAUAAUCUGGUCUGGUGUCAUAUCACACACUAGUGAAUACAAUUAUAAUCCAUCUCAGACUUGUGAUAUGAUGUGCAAGACAGUGAACACUAUGUGAAAUAAUCUUACGACACAUUUAAAGUAAUUCUGGAGCAAAGUGGUAAAACAUUUUUUUUUAUCAAACUCAGGAGUUAUCAUGUACUUCUACAUCUCAGGUGUUGAGUUGUGUAGCGUGGAAAGCUGGCUACUGUGUUAGCUCUACACCACAAUACUGCCCAACCAUACUACAUUCACAGUUGGGAGCUGAGCAGGAGCUAUUAACCCCAAACUCUAAUUUGUCUAAAUCCCUAUUCAAAAUCCCCCUAACCUUAGAGCCCCAUGAAUGUAAUUAGUCAAACCAUAAUUUUUUUAAACUUUUCUGUUGUAACCCUAAUUUUCCAACUCCAAUUCUACUAACCAAAAACCCCGGUUAGCUAAUUCUUAAAACCAUAAUUCAUAAGCCCUGAAUGCGGCUCGGUCACCUCUGGACACUGUAUCAGUAUUUCACAACAAUAAAAUCUUUGUGACUGUUCUAUUUCCUUGAAAUUCAAACACAAUCAAAACAUGUCAAAAGAGAAAUGAGGUACUACUUUAUCUUAUGAGCAAAGUCCAGAAUAACAGCUGAUAAAAGAUGGAGCUUCUAUGGUCAAUGAUGGUCAUUUACGACAACCUUUCCACUGCUAGUGAUGGCAAUGGAAAAGAGGUAUGUAUUUGUGCAUUGCUUUAACUGGUCUAUGGAGGGCUCUGGCAGGAUCUCACUCAAUGCAUGGAUGCCAACUUUGGGGGUCUUUUGUGAAGACCCCUGAAAAGUGACAGUCACAUGAAGCUUAAAGGAACACUCUAGUGUUAAAAAUACAAAUGUGUUUUCGUUAUACUAUAUUUGUUAAAACACCAUUUAGGUGACCACCCCCCUCCCCCACCCCCACUUGCCUGCAUUUAAAAAAGGUGUUAAACUCCGCCUCCUUGGCCACGAUCAAACUUGAAGAUCUAAGGCAAUCCAGUGCUUUUCCAUAGGGAAUCAUUGGGAGGUUACAGCGCACAGCACCCACGCUGCGCCAAUCAGCAUCUCCUCCUAGAGAUGCACUGAAUCAAUGCAUCUCUAGGAGGAAUGUUCAGUGUGUGGAGACACUAACCCAGGAAGCACCACUUCAAGUGGCCGUCUUGAGUGACUGUCACUAGAGGUGUUCAUAGGCAGAAAUGUAAACACUGCAAUUUUCUGAAAAGCCUGCAUGGACUGUCUAUACUCACCAGAACAACUACAUUAAGCUGUAGUUGUUUUGACGACUACAGUGUCCCUUUAAAAACAUGUUUCUGUUAUUUUAAAUGUCUAUCUUUUAUACCUGGUCACUGACAGGCCCUAAACAGAUGAUUUAGAACUAGUUUAGGAUAGAAAGGCGAUUUGUUUAGUCUCAUCCAACAAUGUAUACCUGCUAUAAAAUAAUUAAAUUGAAAGUGAGGCUUACCGUUUACCACCUCCUACACUGUUUAUUCAGGCCAAGGGGCAGGGAAGUGAAUCCCCUUACACAAUGCACAAAAAAAAAUUUAAAAAAAAGACAUUUGUAACAUGUACAGCAAGCAUGUCAAACUCGCGGCAUGGGCAUCUUUGCGGCCCGGUGAGCCGCGAGUACAUGCUUAGUGUUAUAGCAGAGUAGGCACUUGCUUUUCCCACAUUGCAGGUACCUUCUCUGCUAAAACUUACCCGGCCAGGGAGGAGGGCCAACGAGGUAGCUCAGUGUUCCUGCUCCCUCGCGCACGCUGUCUGUAGUGAAGCCAGUCGCCAGAAUAUGAAGUCAUAUUCCGGCGCUCUGCAUCACUAAACCGCGCGAGGGAGCAGUAAGUAACAGAUAGAAGAUCCCUACUGGGCCCCAGGGAGAAGCCCCACAUAAGCUCCCAAAGGUAGGGAGCAAUAAAGAAAAUGAUGUGUGUGCAAGGAUGUGUAAAUAUGUGUGUCUGUCAGUGAGUGUGUGUGUCUGUUUGUGUCUGUCUGUGAGUGUGUGUGUCUGUCAGUGAGUGUGUGUGUGUUGGUCAGUGUUGCAAUGGCUGCGACUGGACAGUGGAGUACCCGGAGGUGCAUGGAGGCACGCAACGCCAUGUCACAUUCCGACGUGACAUUGACAUGCUCCACCUUCACAGGGUUUCAAGAAGUAGCGGGAGUAUCAGACUAGGUAUAGGGUGCGGACGGCGCCAUUAGGGGUAUACCAGAGGCCUGACUCCGGAGUCGCAUACUGGCAGCGGCAAUGUGAGUGGAGUCUGCUUGUUGGCUAGAGGGGGUACUGGGAUUUAGUAUAUGGGGGGGCGACGACUGGGAUUUAAUAGAGAGGGGUGCUGUGGUUUAGUAGAGGGGGAUGCGGGUUUUUUUUUAUACUGUACUUUUCAAAACAAACCUACGUUUCUAAGAAAAUGUAAGGUUUUUUUUUUUGCGGCCCACAUAAACUUAAACCUUGUUUAUGUGGCCCGUGCUAGACUUUGAGUUUGACAUGCUUGAUGUACAGCACUGAGUAUACUAGUAUACAUAGUACACAUAUUCUAAGCAGCUCUGUUUAAUGUCACACACAAAAAGUACACAGUAUGGAGUAGAAUGGUUCACGACAGGUUUAUGAAGUUGCAAUUCAGUAAUAACUACAAGUUAACACGUUGUAGAGUUUUAGUUAGGAUGUCCAUACAUGUAAGCAGAGUAAAUAUUACAUUUUUAUACUGUGAUAAAACCCACAGCAAAUCGUUAGAGCAAUAGGCAAUAACCUUUUAAGGUUAUCAUUGAAAAUAGAAUUAAAAAAAAAUAAAAAACGACCAAAUUGGACAAAUAAAACACAGAGAAAUGGAAAUUCCAAAUGCCUUUUACUGAUAAUUUUAACUCUUUAAUACCUUAUCACAAGAAGAGUCUGUGUAGUGACUCACAAUAAUUGCCCAUAAAGAGAUCUACUACUAAUCCUUAUUCAACAAUGAAUUAGCCAGAACUGCAAGAAAUGUUUGUGUAAAUCACUUCUGUUCAAGCUCUGGAUAUACGAAUAAAAAAAGGUCACACUGUAUAAACAUAUUAUUGCAAAAUAUGGAGUCAUUUCCAGACCGUGUAAAGGCUGAGGUCUUUUUACCCUGAGACUUUAUUAUAAUCAUGUUCUGCUGAAAAAUGUUGCCAAAUACUUUAUUUUCAGCAGUUAUUAAACUAGUCUUAGAGUGCCCCCAAGUGGCAUUUUGUAGGAACGGAGUGUUCAGUGAUGUUAGGUUGGUUUCUAUUUCUUCUUUAUAAAGAACAGAUAGUAGCAUGGAGCAAGUUGUGUCACUGUGUUGUUACACUGAAUACACAAUGCAUGUAAAUGCCUAUGGAUUUGCUGUAGUGAGCACAUUUUGUAUGAAGCACCUGUGGAUACUACUGGGAAUGAACUGCUACUGUGAGUUUAGUAAAUAGUAAGGCCAUUCAUUUGUUUCCUUGUCUAAGAUUCACUAUGAUCACUUUAUUAAGGGUUGCAUUAAUAAAAAAUAAACAUCGUGAGUGUUAGUGACAAUUUCAAUGCAUGCUUGAAUACACAAUACAGAGCACACAUGUACACUGGCAUUCCAAUCAAACGGUAGAAUUUAAAAAUGUUUUGGUAUAUCACUUAUAAACCUUUCCCCCAUCACAUAUUGCUUGUAAUAAAAGACGUCCCUUUCAGUGGGAUUUUCAAUGCAUUUAGUACCAUGGCUGAAUUGAUCUACAGAGGAUAUUUCUUAAACAUGCUUCAAAUUUGGAUUUAUCCUGGUUUAAUAUAUACACAUAUGUACAUUGGCAUUCCAACCGAACGGUAACAUUUGUAAUUUAUUUUUGGUGUAUCACUUAUAAACCUUUUCCCCCAUCCUGCUUUUGUUAGUGAAGUACAAACACAUUGAUAUACACACACUUUUUAAUUUCAUUUUACACACCGAUGUCCACACCUCCCGUACUAUUGUCUAAGGAAAAGCUACAGAGGAGCCUCAUUACUGGAGUUCAGUAUGGAGUUGCAGGGAUCACUCUGUACACUGACUGCACAGCUCCCAGUGCAUGCAGCAGCUCUAUGUGAAUGCCAGUGUUCUCUCAUUUCCCUAAAACUGUCAGAAGCCUCGUCCCAGUCAAUUCCAGUGACGCAGAAUUAGCCGUUUCAUCACGAUGUCAUACUGCUCAUGCGUGCAAGUACACACACCUCCCAACCAGCUCAAAUGAGAUAGCCAAACCUAAACUUUAUAUUGGUUUCUUUACGUUUGGAGAUCCCAAUUGAGCUGAUAGGGAGUUGUGCGCGCUCGCGCGUGAGUAGUACAUGAACCUGCGGUGAAACAUCUGAUUCCGCGUUCAGCUAUGAAAAUCUGGCCCUCCCCACUAAAUAAAGGGUUAAAAACCCUUUUGUUUACUUACCUGAUCCCAGCACGAUCCCGCCCCCUCCGACGAACAGGCGCUAGUGAUCUCCCAUAGAAAAGCAUUGAAUCAAUGCUUUCCUAUGGGGAAAAAUCUGACGCUGUACCCUCAUACAGAGCAUGAUGACGUCAGUGCAUGAGGAUGUCCAGCAUCAGAUACCAGACCAAAGGUCCGUGUCGAUUCAGGAUGCCCUCUAGUGGCUGUAGACAGCCACUGUGAGCAGACUUAGUGCUACAAUGUAAACUAGGUGCAAAAUGGACUCUGCACCCAGACCACUUCAAUUAUCUGAAGUGGUCUGGGUGCCUAUAGUGUCCCUUUAAUGAAUAUUGGUGCUGAGAUUUCAGGUGACAGGAGGAUAAAGCACAGUUAUUAUGAAUUAAACAUAUAAGACACAGAGAGGUCUGUAGUAAAAUCUGCAGUCACAUAAUAUAUGAAAAACAUAUUAAAACAAUAUAUAUAUAUAUAUCUCAGCAACAAGGCAAAACAGUGCUGCAUAUCACAAAAGAUCCUGUAGGGGAGAAACCUUGUAAAAAUAAGAGAAAUGUCCAUUAAUUUAAACUCACACCUUGGUGAAAUUACAAUAGUACAUACUUUGCAUAAUAAACUACCUAAUAAUAACCCAGUCUAUCUAUAUUCCUGACAGCCAGUGUUUCUGAUAUGAAAUCAUUUUAGUUCUAGAACUCAUGUACUGGACCUCCAGCUCCUGACUGGUUCUCAAUAUACUUCUAACUGAUUAAGAACUCGUACAGGGUUUUGUAAACAGGGCUCUUUUUACAUGUGCAGAACCUUCUCUCUAUUAUUUGUUUAAAGGUUGCCUUUUCUGGCCUUCUCUAUGGCCCAUUCUGAUUGUAUUGGCUCCUGUUUAGUUGAUCCCCUGAUUCUCAAUCCUGCUCUAUUCUCUCUAGCUGAGCUGGCCCUGUUUGCAGGCCACAUGCACAUCCAGGCUGAUGGUACUCACUGUGACAUGUGUAAUGACAUCACAAAGCUGAUGUAGCAGCUACAAUGCUUUACAUCACAUUGUCAGUGCCACCAUAUAAGGGAUUGCUAUGGCUAGGGAGAAUAAUGCACAAUUAGGUACAGUAUCUAAUUGUAUAUACAUCCAUGUCAUUAGAAUAUAAUAGAAUCAUUUGAUAAAGUAAGUAAGCAUUAAUAAUGGGUUCUUAGAAAUGCAAGACGUUAACUUGUGUCCUGUAUACAGAUUCACAGAGAUACUUUCCAAUUGACUUAGGUAAAUGGUUAGGAGAUUAUAUCUUUAUAACUCUUCUUAAAUGUAGUAUUUCUGGAGUACAGCUUUUUUUAAAAUCCUAUUUAUAAACAAUUUCCUUCUAACAUUCAUUUUUAGAUAGAAGUUCCAUGACGUCCAGCAUCACCCAAAACCCUAUAGGAAAGCAUUUAUAUUCAUAAAACUGGCUUGAAAAAAGAAUGUUUAUUUUCAAGCAAGUUUUAUGAAUAGGGAUUCAAUGAAUGACUGUGAACGUCAGCUGAUCUCUCUCAGCCAAUCAGCAGUACCGCUGCCAGAUUCUGCAAGAGCCUUCCGGUUUAGAAUUUUUUAGAAAACUGAAGGGAAGAGAGUCAGGGAGAUUUGGAACUGGAACACAGACUUAAGGGUUAAACCGUUCGAUAAUGGUUUAAUCCCAAAAGGUGAGACAGAGCCAGGGAUGUUCUGGCACCAUAACAAUAUUAUUUUGAUGAAGUUGUUAUGGUGCCUAAACUUUACCUUUAAAAACCUUGUUACCAUGUAUAUUUAUCUAAGACAAAACUCAACGUUUUGGGAACACUGAGAACGAGCUCUUAGUCUCGCUGAGAUCUUAAACGUUUUAUGUGACUUGUACCAUUACAAAAUCUACAACAUUUGCAUAUCAGACUGACUUGAUCCUCAAGGGCAGUCUAAAAUGAAAAUGCAGUCAGGUUCCCUCUAUAUGAGAUAUAAAGCAACCCCAGGCAAUCAUUUUGGACUUACAAAUGGUACUGGUUACCUCUGCAAUGUCAUUAGUAAGCUAAAACGUGUCGGAUAGUGGUGACUAGAUGAGUGGAAAGCUUUUCCCAUUGUCAUUGUUUUCAUAAAUUCUGUUUUUGACUUAUAUGCUUAUGAUUAUGGUCUCCCCAAAUUAAAAGGGUAAUCCAGGCAUUGAGCCCUUGCUCUUUCUGCUUAGAGAGGUAUCGCCUACACCUCACUGAUGAGACCAAAGAUGGCCAUAACAACACUUUUUAGAGGUAGCUGGAUUAUAGUUCAUUUAUCACUAGGAAAGCUAGGGAUUGCAGCAAGGUCACCCCUCCCGAGGAAAAGGUAAGAAGGGAGGGGGGAUAUAAAGUAUAUAUUUUUCCAAUUAAAAAAAUAUACAUAUAUUGCUUUAAUCUGUCCCCCGCUCCCAUACAUAAUACCUCCCAACACACACUGCACCCUUCACACAUACAGCACUACACACACACACACACACACACACACGCUGCACCCCUCUCCCUCCCCUUUCACACACACCCUACACCCAGACAUGCUGCACCCCUCACACACACACACACACACACACUAAAUCACCUACACAACUCUGAAUCCUGUACACAUACACACACUGGAACCCUUAUAGAGACUCUGUGUUCUCCACACACACACAGUAGAUCACCAACAUACAAUAGAUCCCCUAUAGACACACACUGCACCACCUAAACACACACUACACUUCUGACAUACACACUCUGGAUCCCCUAUGAGCACACUACAUUACCUCAAUAACGCUCUUUAAAGCCCCUAGACACACUACAUCACCCACACAAAUACACGCUAUAGUCCCAAUGCACACACUCGCUACAACCCCUAUACACACACUCUCUCUCUCACUCUCCACAGCACCUAGCCACACAUAUUACAACACAACUGAACAGUGGCGGACUGACAACUUACAGGGCCCUCGGGCAAUGGUAGACCAAGAGCCCCCUUCUGGUGCAAAGUUUUUUGGCUACUGCUACUUUUCUCCCCCUACUUUUGUGUGGCUCUCCCACAGAUAUUAUAUGCAUGCUGCAAAGCACCCAUAAUGGCUGCGUGAGAACCACACAGUCAUGACUCCCACCUGCAGGCCUCCAAACAGGGUUUUUGCUUUUAAGAGGUUAAUCCAACCAAAAACAGUAUUACACAGUAUUAAAAAAUAAAACACUGUUUCAGAAUGGAAUAACCCUGACUGGCAUGCCUCAACCCACUAAAAUAAAGAAAUAAAGCCAAUGUAAUUACACACUUUCUCUGUGUUUGCUGGUGACAUCACAAGCAGCGUCCCCCACAUUUGUUUUCAAUCAUACAAGUCCAUGUAAGUAGCCUGUUUGUAGGCUAGUUGUGACGUUCAUUGUGUGGGAUGCUGCUUGUGAUGUGCUGUUCCUGUAUGUCAACGCGUUGUGUUAGAAUUGUUUGUCUUCUUUUACCUAUUGUACUGUGCUGCAAAAUAUGUUGGUGCCAUAUAAAUGGUUGUAAUAAUUGCGUCUGUGUGCGUAAGGAGGCUGUAUGCAGUAUUGCAAUGGUGGGGAUGCUGCUUGUGAUAAGUGUCCAUAGGUGGAUUUGCGUGUGUGGAUGGGUCUCUUUGCAGUGUAGUAUGUGGGUGGAGAUGGCUGGUUGUGUUGUAGUGUGUGCGGUAGGGGCUGUUGUAUGUGUGUGAGAUAGGCUGUAGUAGGUGUGGGGGAUACUGGGGCUGUAGAUUGUGUUUGUAUGGAUAAUAGAGGCUCUACUGUGUGGGGGAUAUAAAGGCUGCAGUAUGUGUGUGUGGAUAGUGGCUGCAGUGUGUGGGAUAUGGGCUGUAGUAGGUGCAGGGGGGGCAUAGGGACUGUAGUAGGUGCAUGGGGGUAUAAUGGCAGAGGUGGGUGCUGGGGGAGAUUGGAGCUGAGGUCGGUGGAAGGGGGUAGGUGCUGGGGGAAAAAGGGGCAGAGCAGUGGCGUACACUUGACCCAUGGGGCCCCGGUGCAAAAAUUGUCCGCCCCUGCAACUGAAACCAAUUUACACAAAACACCACACCACAAUCAGUUCACUCUACACACACACACACACACACACAAUCCCACAACCAGGCUGCAAACACAUGCACAAUACGCUUUCCUGGCCCUUAUGUCCUCUGGAAUGCCACUUAUGGAGACACCAGAGACAAGUCACAAGCAAACACAGCGCAAACAUGUUAAUAAAUUUGCUUGUGCGGCGCAGAACAAAAACAGGGCCUUUUUCUCAUGCGAGAGCAUUUCAGCGGGGCUCUGCACAUUGAACAAACAUGCUCACUUUGAGAAUGGGCAUGUUUGUCAUGGGUGAUGACAAAACACACUCUCUCUGGCCCCGCCCCCUUCUCGGUGGGCCGUUGUGAUGCAAAAAUACCCGGGCCCAAUUUUCCCCAGUCCGGCUCUUACAAUGAAUAACGUAGGCAGUAAACAUUAUCUUUUAUUAAUUUUUUUUAGUGUGCAAGCGAUAACAAACAGGCUUGGUACGCCACGAUAGCUAUAUCAUGCAUGAAAAGACAUUCAAGAGAGGUUAUUUACGUGGUUUACAUAUAAUCUGCACGUUUUAAGUUUAACGUUUGUCAAGAAGGUGGGUAUCUGGAGCUGGCCUGUAUUUCCAAACAACAGGGAUUGUGAGCUCUUGUGACAAGCUGGAAGCAAGCUCUAUACCUAUGUAUGUGUUCUUUAUGCCCCUGUUGCGUACAGCAGUGUAAUGAGUACUAUGAGGGUAGUGCCUGAGGCGAGUAUAGAUAGAGUUCCAACUCUCUGCAGGGGGCAAACUAAAAGAGGAGCUAAUAAAUCCUCAAGUUAUGAGUAGGUCUGGACGGUAGGUGAGCAAGUUAGCUGAUAUCUUUGGGGGUGAGGGUGCUCUGUGGCCCGGUCAGUGUAUGGCUGAUGGUGCCGGUACCUAUGUUGCUACGGUACUGCAGUGAGAGAGCGAGCCGGAUACUGCUCUUGGCUGAGGGGGAGCAAGCGUGGGUAUCGAGGUAACCUUUUUUGAGCAUAUUGGGCUUUUCUCUAACUAAGAGCUAUCUGCACGUCAGAACCUGAACUCAGUGUUCAAUGGUGGGCUUAGUGUUCAUGUGCCAGGAAUGUUAGGGCUAGUCCUUGGGUCAGGAGGGCCACAGGUAUGUGGUGGUGGCCUCUUCUUGCUGCCAGAGCUCCAUCAGGUGCAUAGUUCUCUGCAACAAGUCAUUGGGGCACAAAAGGGAUAGCCGUUGCCGGGUUCCCUAACCCGGAAAGUGGGGAGGUGGUGCGUGGUCCCAUUGGUGGUAAGGAGUCCUUCUGUAGGCCCAGGGUGGGAAGGAGUUCUCUCGCACCCUGCAGGUCGUGGAUGGUGUAUGUGGAGUCAGCCUGAUGUAUUUGCAGCGCGUGUGGUCCCCUCCACUUAUAGUCGAUGUUUUGCGUGCGGAGGAGGGAUGUGAGGGGCUGUAGCGAGCAGCGCCAUACCAGUGUGGACUUUGACAGGUCCGUGUAGAAAGACAUCGACUGGUUUUCAAAUAGGUAAGGAGAUUGAUUGCGCGUUGCUUUUAUCACCGCAAUUUUGUGUCUGGUGCUGGGAAAGCGCACUAGGAGAUCCCUAGGUAGCGUGCUAUGAGCCUUGGCGGGCCUCGGGAGACUGAACAUCCCCUCUGGGUUCUCCUGCUUUGUGUGCUUGGGGUUUAGGAGGGCUGUUAUGAGUCGCCUUACAAAGUGCAGUACCUUGGCCUCCGGCAUCUCCUCUGUGAUCCCCUGGAUCUUAAUAUUUCUGCUUCGCCUCUGGUCUUCUAAUGCUGCAAAUUUUAGGUCGUAUUUAAGGUUCUGCAUCUGCAGUUCAUGUACUGCUUGUUGUAGGUGCUUGAUGUGUUUGGUAUUCUGGUUGGAAUCUUGCUCCAGUAUGUUCAUGCGGCCAGUCAGGCCCUGUAGGUCUUUGCGUAUCUGGGCAAUGUCGGCCUGUAUGGCGAGCUGAACCCACCAGCAGUUCCUUCAGGAUCGCUGUGGUGAGUGGUGGCGAUUCCGGUUGUGGAGGGACCGGGAGAGGCUCUGCCUUUAUUCCGAGCAUAAAAUCAUCUGAAACGUUGGAGCAGUCGUCGGUUAAGGCGGCCAUGUUUGGGCCUAUGGCACCCUGUGCUUGUCUCCAGAAGUCACGAUGCUCAUGUUCUGCGGAGGUUUGUCGGGUCUAGACUUUUUGGUCUUCC
Molecule: long non-coding RNA, 26199 nt
Filed under: Pelobates cultripes (western spadefoot toad)
Lineage: Eukaryota; Metazoa; Chordata; Amphibia; Anura; Pelobatidae
Source: RNAcentral